Phrynosoma platyrhinos (Desert horned lizard) is the source of this 72-nucleotide non-coding RNA. The record is from the annotation of a GenBank genome assembly. NCBI's taxonomy places the organism in Eukaryota, Metazoa, Chordata, Lepidosauria, Squamata, Phrynosomatidae.
GCCAGUAUGGUGUAGUGGUUUGAGCGCUGGUCUACAGUUCUAGAAACCAGGGUUCAAAUCCCUCCUCAGCCA